Molecule: long non-coding RNA, 858 nt
Filed under: Phoenix dactylifera (date palm)
Lineage: Eukaryota; Viridiplantae; Streptophyta; Magnoliopsida; Arecales; Arecaceae
Description: long non-coding RNA (PDAC_LNC014138)
Source: RNAcentral
AGGGCUAAAAAAAAUAAAACGAAAAACAAAAGAGAAUACUGUAGUCAGAGAUGAGGAGAAUAUGGCCACUUUUCAUCUGUUGAAAUGGGAAAAGUUAACAAUAGAUUGGGAAGGCCAAGAAGUUUGGAAGCUCGGAGCCUCGGAAUGAACUCCGUGGUUGUAGAAAACACAAGAUCCUAGAGAUCUGAGCUUUCCGCGAUAUAGUUUUUUGUCUCUCAGCUUAGCACCCAGCGCUGGAAUAAUAUAAGACUCAUGAUGACAUCCCAACCUUCCUUAAAGUUCUCGGAAGUGAGAAUAUAAAAUUAUACAAAAAAAUGCUCGCACAGUCAAAAGCCUUGACUACGAUCUUUGAUUCCCAACCUAUGUUGGGAAACGGAAAUAAAGACUCAGCAAGUCGCAAAGACACAUGACCCUGAUUAUUUCUACCAUCAGACGGAGGAACGCAAGAACAUCACAUCCCAGCCUUUACAAAUUUAGGCUCUUUAUAUAACAAAGCUUGAGAAAUGGGGUUAACUCCAAAGUGGAGAUAAAGAUUAAACGCAGUCACGCAACAUGGUGUAACACAGCAAACCUUUGAGAUGGUGUACUGGUCUUUUGGUACGAGAGAAGAGAGCUUGAAGCAUAGGCUCUUCAUGUACAGUCUCCUGUUCUUCUCCACUGUCUUCCUCUCCAGUUUGGUUGCCCCACCACAAGUCUUCAUCUCUCUCUCUCUCUCUCUCUAGCUAGCGACAGCUACUUGAAGGAAGAAGGGAAGAAGGGAAGAAGGGAAGAAAGGAGAGGCCACCGGUGAGCUUUCCAAGGGUCAGAAAGGCUUUACACCGCCCGAAAGAACUCAAGGAGCAGAGAACGGUGGGAAGU